Molecule: ribosomal RNA, 253 nt
Filed under: uncultured bacterium
Lineage: Bacteria
Description: partial 16S ribosomal RNA
Rfam family: Bacterial small subunit ribosomal RNA
Source: RNAcentral
UACGUAGGGGGCAAGCGUUGUCCGGAAUCAUUGGGCGUAAAGCGCACGUAGGCGGCUUUGCAAGUCCCAUGUGAAAUCCCACGGCUCAACCGUGGAAGUGCAUGGGAAACUGCAGAGCUUGAGUACUUAAGAGGAUCGCGGAAUUCCCGGUGUAGAGGUGAAAUUCAUAGAUAUCGGGAGGAACACCAGUGGCGAAGGCGGCGAUCUGGGAAGAUACUGACGCUGAGGUGCGAAAGCGUGGGGAGCAAACAGG